GACCCUGUAGCGCAGUUGGUUAGCGUGCCGCCCUGUCACGGCGGAGGUCGCGGGUUCAAGUCCCGUCAGGGUCG
RNAcentral lists this transfer RNA (74 nucleotides) under Alpinimonas psychrophila. RNAcentral describes it as "Klugiella sp. Cr8-25 tRNA". It matches the Rfam family "tRNA". Rfam says of the family: Transfer RNA (tRNA) molecules are approximately 80 nucleotides in length. The record is from Rfam by way of RNAcentral. RNAcentral also lists the same sequence under 1 other name. Lineage: Bacteria; Bacillati; Actinomycetota; Actinomycetes; Micrococcales; Microbacteriaceae.